Molecule: ribosomal RNA, 505 nt
Filed under: uncultured bacterium
Lineage: Bacteria
Description: partial 16S ribosomal RNA
Rfam family: Bacterial small subunit ribosomal RNA
Source: RNAcentral
GACGAACGCUGGCGGCGUGCCUAAUACAUGCAAGUAGAACGCACAGUUUAUACCGUAGCUUGCUACACCAUAGACUGUGAGUUGCGAACGGGUGAGUAACGCGUAGGUAACCUGCCUGGUAGCGGGGGAUAACUAUUGGAAACGAUAGCUAAUACCGCAUAAUAUUAAUUAUUGCAUGAUAAUUAAUUGAAAGGUGCAAUUGCACCACUACCAGAUGGACCUGCGUUGUAUUAGCUAGUAGGUGAGGUAACGGCUCACCUAGGCGACGAUACAUAGCCGACCUGGGAGGGUGAUCGGCCAAACUGGGACUGGGACACGGCCCAGACUCCUACGGGAGGCAGCAGUAGGGAAUCUUCGGCAAUGGACGAAAGUCUGACCGAGCAACGCCGCGUGAGUGAAGAAGGUUUUCGGAUCGUAAAGCUCUGUUGUAAGAGAAGAAAGGGUGUGAGAGUGGAAAGUUCACACUGUGACGGUAUCUUACCAGAAAGGGACGGCUAACUACGUG